Molecule: ribosomal RNA, 253 nt
Filed under: uncultured bacterium
Lineage: Bacteria
Description: partial 16S ribosomal RNA
Rfam family: Bacterial small subunit ribosomal RNA
Source: RNAcentral
UACGUAGGUGGCAAGCGUUGUCCGGAUUUACUGGGCGUAAAGAGCGCGCAGGCGGUUGGAUAAGUCGAAUGUGAAAGCCCCCGGCUCAACUGGGGAGGGUCAUCGAAACUGUCCAACUCGAAGGCAGGAGAGGGAAGCGGAAUUCCCGGUGUGAGUGGUGAAUGCGAUAGAUAUCGGGAGGAACACCAGUGGCGAAGGCGGCCAUCUGGACCGCAACUGACGCUGAGGCGCGAAAGCGUGGGGAGCAAACAGG